CCUGUUUAUACAUUUUUGCUAGAGAUUUGAGGAGUGCUUCUGGAGGGCAGGAAAUGUAUUUUGAAUGUUAACUGAGGGGAAUUUACUUGUGACUUUUGUUUUCAGUUGAGUUGAUUCUGUGUUGGGUUAAAGACAUGAAUUCUGACCUACUCAUAGAGUUAAUUUCACUCUGUCUACUGAAGAGAUUAAUUAAAUACACCAUUAUAGUGACUAUAUUUGAUCUUAUAUUUGCCAUGUGGUUCUGUGAUGUCUGCUUAUUGCUCCUUUGUUGUUUCCUUUGUUUAUUAGGACAUAGUUCUUUGGAGAUCUGGGGAACUGAUGAAGCUCAGCUAUUGUAGCAUCUAAAAUUCACAGGUUCAUGGUGACUUCCGCUUUCCAACUUGGUCUUGACUUUUUUAAAUGACUAAAUAAAACGAGUGAAUCAAUAUUUAAAGAAAGUUUUUCUUGACUUGAUUUGUUUUUAUUAAACUUUUGAAGUUUGAGAUGAGGAGAAAGAUGUGCUUUUAAAGAAUGAAGCCUUCAGUGGGAUGCUUAAAAUACCUUGGGACUUUUCUUUUUUCUUCAGUGCUUGAUUAAAGGUACAGGCUGAAGCAAGAAAAAAAAAAAUGAGUGAGGUCAACUCAUUCUUUCUAGAUUUAGUUGCUUAACAGUGCCUGCUGCAUUCUGUUGGUAAGGACCAGUUUGACCUCACUCACAGAUAAAGAGGUUAAAGAUUAUAUAAGGCAUAGAAAAGUCCUUGUUGCUCAGUUAGCCAAAGUGAUAUACUAGCCAUUUUUUUUCUCUUUGUAAGUUAACUCUUUCUCUCCCUUCUCUCCUUAUCACUGAUAGGUAGUGCUAACAAGUGAUCUGAUUCUUUGUCUUAGAUCUACAUUGAGGCCCUAAAGUAAUGCCUGCAUAUAUAGUAUCUUUAGUACAUUUUUGCCCCUUCUUUUACUGCAGUACCUGCAUGUUUGUCCUCACAGCUUACAUAGGAAGACAAGUACCAUCCACAUGCAAAUAGCCUCCAUUAGCAUGAAUCAUACAAUACGAUGCUGCCAUUGAUUAUGUAUCCCAGGCGAGAGAUACUGGUGUUAGCCUCAGUACUAGGGUUGGGUGACUAAACUUGCCAUAAUGGGAUGAAACUCUGCAUAGAU
Molecule: long non-coding RNA, 1133 nt
Filed under: Macaca mulatta (Rhesus monkey)
Lineage: Eukaryota; Metazoa; Chordata; Mammalia; Primates; Cercopithecidae
Description: lncRNA (ENSMMUG00000057371.1)
Source: RNAcentral